This 244-nucleotide ribosomal RNA is filed under the name Eobania vermiculata. Its description in RNAcentral is "Massylaea vermiculata partial 18S ribosomal RNA". It matches the Rfam family "Eukaryotic small subunit ribosomal RNA", at positions 222 to 444 of the family's 1831-position model. The record is from RNAcentral. Lineage: Eukaryota; Metazoa; Mollusca; Gastropoda; Stylommatophora; Helicidae.
CCAAUUGUCGUUGCCCUUCACGGGGCGCGGCGUUCCCACUGGUGACUCUGGAUAACUUUGUGCUGAUCGCAUGGCCUUACGUGCCGGCGACGCAUCUUUCAAAUGUCUGCCCUAUCAAAUGUCGAUGGUACGCCGGCUGCCUACCAUGUUUGUAACGGGUAACGGGGAACCAGGGUUCGAUUCCGGAGAGCCGGCAUGAGAAACGGCUACCACAUCCAAGGAGGGCGGCUAGCGCUCAAUUCCC